GAUGAACGCUGGCGGCGUGCCUAAUACAUGCAAGUCGAGCGAACGGACGAGAAGCUUGCUUCUCUGAUGUUAGCGGCGGACGGGUGAGUAACACGUGGAUAACCUACCUAUAAGACUGGGAUAACUUCGGGAAACCGUAGCUAAUACCGGAUAAUAUUUUGAACCGCAUGGUUCAAAAGUGAAAGACGGUCUUGCUGUCACUUAUAGAUGGAUCCGCGCUGCAUUAGCUAGUUGGUAAGGUAACGGCUUACCAAGGCAACGAUGCAUAGCCGACCUGAGAGGGGGCCCGCCCCCCGGGGGACCGGGACACGGUCCAACCUCCUACGGGAGGGAGGCGUAGGGAAGCUUCCGCAAGGGGAGAAAGCCUGACGGGGCAACGCCGCGUGAGUGAAGAGGGUCUUCGGAUCGAAAACCUCUUUUAUUAGGAAAGAACAUAUGUGUAAGUAACGGUGCACCUCUUGGCGGUACCUAAUCAGAAAGCCCCGGCUAACUA
This 493-nucleotide ribosomal RNA is filed under the name uncultured bacterium. Its description in RNAcentral is "partial 16S ribosomal RNA". It matches the Rfam family "Bacterial small subunit ribosomal RNA", at positions 28 to 503 of the family's 1533-position model. The record is from RNAcentral.